GGAUGUGAGGGCGAUCUGGCUGCGACAUCUGUCACCCCAUUGAUCGCCAGGGUUGAUUCGCCUGAUCUGGCUGGCUAGGCGGGUGUCCCCUUCCUCACUCACCGUUCCAUGUGCAUCCCUCCCGAAGCUGCGCGCUCGGUCGAAGAGGAUGACCUUCCCCGCUAGAGGAGGACCGGUCUUUGGUCAAGGGUAUACGAGUAGCUGCGCUCCCCUGCUAGAACCUCCAAACAAGCUGUCAAAUAAAUAAAUCCUUAAAAAAUAAAAGAAAAAAAGAAAUACAUAAAUGAAU
RNAcentral lists this small nuclear RNA (289 nucleotides) under Oryctolagus cuniculus (rabbit). RNAcentral's name for it is "7SK RNA". It matches the Rfam family "7SK RNA", at positions 1 to 283 of the family's 331-position model. From Rfam's summary of the family: 7SK was discovered as an abundant small nuclear RNA in the mid-70s but a possible function has only recently been suggested. Two independent studies have found that 7SK RNA binds the CDK9/cyclin T complex (known as elongation factor P-TEFb). P-TEFb activates transcription by phosphorylating the C-terminal domain of RNA polymerase II. Lineage: Eukaryota; Metazoa; Chordata; Mammalia; Lagomorpha; Leporidae. The record is from Rfam by way of RNAcentral.